Molecule: ribosomal RNA, 379 nt
Filed under: uncultured bacterium
Lineage: Bacteria
Description: bacterial SSU rRNA
Rfam family: Bacterial small subunit ribosomal RNA
Source: RNAcentral
AAUCAACGCUGGCGGCGUGCCUCAGACAUGCAAGUCGAACGAUUAAAGCUCCCUUCGGGGAGUGCAUAAAGUGGCGCACGGGUGAGUAACACGUAAGUAAUCUACCCUCGGGUGGGAAUAACAUCGGGAAACCGAUGCUAAUACCGCAUAAUGCAGCGGCACCGCAAGGUGACAGUUGUUAAAGAUUUAUUGCCUGGGGAGGAGCUUGCGGCAGAUUAGCUUGUUGGUAAGGAACGGCUUACCAAGGCUACGAUCUGUAUCCGGUCUAAGAGGACGGUCGGACACACUGACACUGAAUAACGGGUCAGACUCCUACGGGAGGCAGCAGUCGGGAAUUUUGGGCAAUGGGGGAAACCCUGACCCAGCAACGCCGCGUGAA